UUCUAUGAUUACAAACAAAUAAGUAUGUAUCCAUGUAUUCAAGUGUAAUUUCAGGUACUCAGUAUUCAAUAUUAUUCAAUAUUUGUACUGUAAAUAAAUUUAUGUAAUGAUACAUUUAUGUACAAUAUUAAUGUAAUUGUCACUUUCGUUUUUUCAUUAUUUCAUUAUCAUCAUUAUUUUUGUAUAUAGAAUUUUAACAUUGAUAUUGCAGUACAAGUGCCUAAAGAAAACGACAAAACUGAAAGGAGUACAGACCAAAGUCCAAAGCGAGAAGAAAGUCAUAUUUAUGAGGACAUUGCCCAAAACAACGCGAAAAGACCACCUCAAGAAAAAGACGUUGGAAAACGACCACCUCCAGAAAUUGACAUGAAAAGACCACAUCCACAAAAUGACGUAAAAAUACCAACUCCAGAAAUCGACGUUAACAUACCACCUCCAGAAAUCGACGUUAAAAUACGACCAUCAGAAAUCGACGUAAAAAUACCACCUCCAGAAAUCGACGUAAAAAUCCCACCUCCAGAAAACGACGUAAAAAUACCACCUCUAGAAAUCGACGUAAAAAUCCCACCUCCAAAAAACGACGUAAAAAUACCACCUCUAGAAAUCGUCGUCAAAAUACCACCUCCAGAAAACGGCUUUAAAGGACCAACACCAGGUAACGACUUUAAAAGAACACCGCCGAUCCCGCCAAGAUGCGCAGUGAAACAAUCAUAUGAUCGCAAAGCCCCUGCACAUGAAACGCACAUUUACGAGAACUUGAAAAUUUAAGUUUUGUAUCACAAUAAAAGAGUUCCAGUUUAUAACAGAAUAUUAAUUUAUAUAUUUGAAUGAUAAACUGAAGUGAUGUUUGUUUAUUUCAUUUAAUUUCAUAUUUUGUCAAGAAAAAAUAUAGGUCCAUGGUUGUGAGAAAUGUUAAACUAAAACAUUUCAUCAGAUGUCAAGAAAGGUCAAAACCUGUUCUUUUCGUGUUUUUUGUUUCUUUCAUUGCUUCCUAGAAUCUCCCAUUUGCAGACUAUGUACAAAACAUAAAGGCUUUUUUCUUAACUGAAUAAGGCUUGUGGUAUGGUCAGGACUACCAUUUCCUGACAUGUACAAUAGAUUUGUAAAGAUUUGUUUGUUUUUUUA
Molecule: long non-coding RNA, 1125 nt
Organism: Ruditapes philippinarum (Manila clam)
Lineage: Eukaryota; Metazoa; Mollusca; Bivalvia; Venerida; Veneridae
Exons: 3
Source: RefSeq, a predicted model, not a curated record